Molecule: ribosomal RNA, 254 nt
Filed under: uncultured bacterium
Lineage: Bacteria
Description: partial 16S ribosomal RNA
Rfam family: Bacterial small subunit ribosomal RNA
Source: RNAcentral
UACGGGGGGAGCAAGCGUUGUUCGGAUUUACUGGGCGUAAAGGGCGCGUAGGCGGCCAGCACAAGUCAGUUGUGAAAUCUCCGAGCUUAACUCGGAACGGUCAACUGAUACUGUGCGGCUAGAGUGCGGAAGGGGCAACUGGAAUUCUUGGUGUAGCGGUGAAAUGCGUAGAUAUCAAGAGGAACACCGGUGGCGAAGGCGGCAUCCUGGACCGGCAUUGACGCUGAGGAGCGAAAGCCAGGGGAGCAAACGGG